UACGUAGGGUGCAAGCGUUGUCCGGAAUUAUUGGGCGUAAAGAGCUCGUAGGCGGUUUGUUGCGUCGGCUGUGAAAUCCCGAGGCUCAACCUCGGGUCUGCAGUCGAUACGAGCAAACUAGAGUGUUGCAGGGGAGACUGGAAUUCCUGGUGUAGCGGUGAAAUGCGCAGAUAUCAGGAGGAACACCGGUGGCGAAGGCGGUUCUCUGGGC
This 211-nucleotide ribosomal RNA is filed under the name uncultured bacterium. Its description in RNAcentral is "partial 16S ribosomal RNA". It matches the Rfam family "Bacterial small subunit ribosomal RNA", at positions 524 to 734 of the family's 1533-position model. The record is from RNAcentral.